GACAGUUUGGCUGAGUGGUCUAAGGCGCCAUAUUUAGGAUUUGGUCCGAAACGGCAUGGGUUCAAAUCCCACAACUGUCA
Molecule: non-coding RNA, 80 nt
Organism: Picea glauca (white spruce)
Lineage: Eukaryota; Viridiplantae; Streptophyta; Pinopsida; Pinales; Pinaceae
Source: Rfam